This 84-nucleotide transfer RNA is filed under the name Streptomyces flaveus. RNAcentral describes it as "tRNA-Arg". The record is from RNAcentral. Lineage: Bacteria; Bacillati; Actinomycetota; Actinomycetes; Kitasatosporales; Streptomycetaceae.
CGACGCGGUCGCCGUUGGGCAGCCGUGCCGCGAUGGCUGCGAACCGUUGGCGUACGACGGUUCCGACGCCGUCCGUUUCGUCCA